RNAcentral lists this ribosomal RNA (251 nucleotides) under Bacillus licheniformis. Its description in RNAcentral is "partial 23S ribosomal RNA". It matches the Rfam family "Bacterial large subunit ribosomal RNA", at positions 675 to 924 of the family's 2925-position model. The record is from RNAcentral. Lineage: Bacteria; Bacillati; Bacillota; Bacilli; Caryophanales; Bacillaceae.
AAGCGAGUCUGAAUAGGGCGCAUGAGUACGUGGUCGUAGACCCGAAACCAGGUGAUCUACCCAUGUCCAGGGUGAAGUUCAGGUAACACUGAAUGGAGGCCCGAACCCACGCACGUUGAAAAGUGCGGGGAUGAGGUGUGGGUAGGGGUGAAAUGCCAAUCGAACCUGGAGAUAGCUGGUUCUCUCCGAAAUAGCUUUAGGGCUAGCCUCAAGGUAAGAGUCUUGGAGGUAGAGCACUGAUUGGACUAGGG